Cavia porcellus (domestic guinea pig) is the source of this 64-nucleotide transfer RNA. It matches the Rfam family "tRNA". Rfam says of the family: Transfer RNA (tRNA) molecules are approximately 80 nucleotides in length. Their secondary structure includes four short double-helical elements and three loops (D, anti-codon, and T loops). The record is from Rfam. Lineage: Eukaryota; Metazoa; Chordata; Mammalia; Rodentia; Caviidae.
GGGGAUUUAGCUCAGCGGCAUAAGCGCCUGCCUUGCAAGCAGGCAGUCAUAAAUUCAAUCCCUG